RNAcentral lists this ribosomal RNA (468 nucleotides) under uncultured bacterium. Its description in RNAcentral is "partial 16S ribosomal RNA". It matches the Rfam family "Bacterial small subunit ribosomal RNA", at positions 28 to 507 of the family's 1533-position model. The record is from RNAcentral.
GACGAACGCUGGCGGCGUGCUUAACACAUGCAAGUCGAACGGAAAGGCCCUGCUUUUGUGGGGUGCUCGAGUGGCGAACGGGUGAGUAACACGUGAGUAACCUGCCCUUGACUUUGGGAUAACUUCAGGAAACUGGGGCUAAUACCGUAUAGGAGCUCCUGCUGCAUGGUGGGGGUUGGAAAGUUUCGGCGGUUGGGGAUGGACUCGCGGCUUAUCAGCUUGUUGGUGGGGUAGUGGCUUACCAAGGCUUUGACGGGUAGCCGGCCUGAGAGGGUGACCGGCCACAUGGGGACUGAGAUACGGCGCAGACUCCUACGGGAGGCAGCAGUGGGGAAUAUUGCACAAUGGGCGGAAGCCUGAUGCAGCAACGCCGCGUGCGGGAUGACGGCCUUCGGGUUGUAAACCGCUUUCGCCUGUGACGAAGCGUGAGUGACGGUAAUGGGUAAAGAAGCACCGGCUAACUACGUG